GGCAGGGUCUGUCCAGGUGGUCCGACUCUCACGGGUGCUGUUCUUCAUCAAGCAUUAGGGCAAGAGGUGUGGAGCCUGCAGCUCUGGCUAGAUUUUCCAUGCAAACCCGGGCAAAAACCAUUUGUUAGCCUGUGCGUCCUGAUUCCUUUUAUUUCACAGAUGACGUGUCCACGCGUAGGACAUGGAUUUUUGGCACAUGCACGCGUAUUGUGGAAAGAUGAAAUCAAGCCCCACUCGCUCCCAGGAGGAGAGCGUUUAAAACCUGCUCUCCUAGGGACGUCCAGGGUGCUCACGUGAGCCACCGUCCCCGUGCUGCACGCUGGGCCUCCAGGACUCUUCCCUGAAACCAGAACUCUGUGCCCUUGACCAGCAUCCCCACCUCCUCGGACAGCAUUCCAGCCGCGGCUCUGGAUUCAGUUCUUCAGGUUCCACAUGCCGAAUAGUAUUCCAUCGUGAGCACAAGUCACCUGUCUCUA
Molecule: long non-coding RNA, 476 nt
Organism: Sciurus carolinensis (gray squirrel)
Lineage: Eukaryota; Metazoa; Chordata; Mammalia; Rodentia; Sciuridae
Exons: 2
Source: RefSeq, a predicted model, not a curated record